CGCCCGUCGCUCCUACCGGUUCUGCGGCUGGUGAAUCGGAGGGAGGGCCGCUGGUCGGUGGUUCGCCACCUGCCUACGGUCCGAACUCCCUUGAACCCUCUGCCGACAAGGAAGGAGAAGUCGUAACAAGGUUUCC
Molecule: ribosomal RNA, 136 nt
Filed under: uncultured Trebouxiophyceae
Lineage: Eukaryota; Viridiplantae; Chlorophyta; Trebouxiophyceae
Description: partial small subunit ribosomal RNA
Rfam family: Eukaryotic small subunit ribosomal RNA
Source: RNAcentral